RNAcentral lists this ribosomal RNA (2885 nucleotides) under Acholeplasma laidlawii. Its description in RNAcentral is "partial 23S ribosomal RNA". It matches the Rfam family "Bacterial large subunit ribosomal RNA". The record is from RNAcentral. Lineage: Bacteria; Bacillati; Mycoplasmatota; Mollicutes; Acholeplasmatales; Acholeplasmataceae.
AAGCGUACACGGUGGAUGCCCUGGCAGUCAGAGGCGAUGAAGGACGUGCUAAUCUGCGAUAAGCGUCGGUGAGGUGAUAUGAACCGUUAUAACCGGCGAUUUCCGAAUGGGGAAACCCAGUGUGUUUCGACACACUAUCAUUAACUGAAUCCAUAGGUUAAUGAGGCGAACCGGGGGAACUGAAACAUCUAAGUACCCCGAGGAAAAGAAAUCAACCGAGAUUCCCCCAGUAGCGGCGAGCGAACGGGGAGGAGCCCAGAGCCUGAAUCAGUGUGUGUGUUAGUGGAAGCGUCUGGAAAGGCGUGCGAUACAGGGUGACAGCCCCGUACACAAAAAUGCACAUAUUGUGAGCUCGAUGAGUAGGGCGGGACACGUGGUAUCCUGUCUGAAUAUGGGGGGACCAUCCUCCAAGGCUAAAUACUCCUGACUGACCGAUAGUGAACCAGUACCGUGAGGGAAAGGCGAAAAGAACCCCGGCGAGGGGAGUGAAAAAGAACCUGAAACCGUGUACGUACAAGCAGUGGGAGCCUCUUAAUGGGGUGACUGCGUACCUUUUGUAUAAUGGGUCAGCGACUUAUAUUCUGUAGCAAGGUUAACCGAAUAGGGGAGCCGAAGGGAAACCGAGUCUUAACUGGGCGUUAAGUUGCAGGGUAUAGACCCGAAACCCGGUGAUCUAGCCAUGGGCAGGUUGAAGGUUGGGUAACACUAACUGGAGGACCGAACCGACUAAUGUUGAAAAAUUAGCGGAUGACUUGUGGCUGGGGGUGAAAGGCCAAUCAAACCGGGAGAUAGCUGGUUCUCCCCGAAAGCUAUUUAGGUAGCGCCUCGUGAAUUCAUCUCCGGGGGUAGAGCACUGUUUCGGCAAGGGGGUCAUCCCGACUUACCAACCCGAUGCAAACUGCGAAUACCGGAGAAUGUUAUCACGGGAGACACACGGCGGGUGCUAACGUCCGUCGUGAAGAGGGAAACAACCCAGACCGCCAGCUAAGGUCCCAAAGUCAUGGUUAAGUGGGAAACGAUGUGGGAAGGCCCAGACAGCCAGGAUGUUGGCUUAGAAGCAGCCAUCAUUUAAAGAAAGCGUAAUAGCUCACUGGUCGAGUCGGCCUGCGCGGAAGAUGUAACGGGGCUAAACCAUGCACCGAAGCUGCGGCAGCGACACUAUGUGUUGUUGGGUAGGGGAGCGUUCUGUAAGCCUGUGAAGGUGGCCUGUGAGGGUUGCUGGAGGUAUCAGAAGUGCGAAUGCUGACAUAAGUAACGAUAAAGCGGGUGAAAAGCCCGCUCGCCGGAAGACCAAGGGUUCCUGUCCAACGUUAAUCGGGGCAGGGUGAGUCGACCCCUAAGGCGAGGCCGAAAGGCGUAGUCGAUGGGAAACAGGUUAAUAUUCCUGUACUUGGUGUUACUGCGAAGGGGGGACGGAGAAGGCUAUGUUGGCCGGGCGACGGUUGUCCCGGUUUAAGCGUGUAGGCUGGUUUUCCAGGCAAAUCCGGAAAACCAAGGCUGAGGCGUGAUGACGAGGCACUACGGUGCUGAAGCGACAAAUGCCCUGCUUCCAGGAAAAGCCUCUAAGCAUCAGGUAACAUCAAAUCGUACCCCAAACCGACACAGGUGGUCAGGUAGAGAAUACCAAGGCGCUUGAGAGAACUCGGGUGAAGGAACUAGGCAAAAUGGUGCCGUAACUUCGGGAGAAGGCACGCUGAUAUGUAGGUGAAGCGACUUGCUCGUGGAGCUGAAAUCAGUCGAAGAUACCAGCUGGCUGCAACUGUUUAUUAAAAACACAGCACUGUGCAAACACGAAAGUGGACGUAUACGGUGUGACGCCUGCCCGGUGCCGGAAGGUUAAUUGAUGGGGUUAGCGGUAACGCGAAGCUCUUGAUCGAAGCCCCGGUAAACGGCGGCCGUAACGAUAACGGUCCUAAGGUAGCGAAAUUCCUUGUCGGGUAAGUUCCGACCUGCACGAAUGGCGUAAUGAUGGCCAGGCUGUCUCCACCCGAGACUCAGUGAAAUUGAACUCGCUGUGAAGAUGCAGUGUACCCGCGGCAAGACGGAAAGACCCCGUGAACCUUUACUAUAGCUUGACACUGAACAUUGAGCCUUGAUGUGUAGGAUAGGUGGGAGGCUUUGAAGUGUGGACGCCAGUCUGCAUGGAGCCGACCUUGAAAUACCACCCUUUAAUGUUUGAUGUUCUAACGUUGGCCCGUAAUCCGGGUUGCGGACAGUGUCUGGUGGGUAGUUUGACUGGGGCGGUCUCCUCCUAAAGAGUAACGGAGGAGCACGAAGGUUGGCUAAUCCUGGUCGGACAUCAGGAGGUUAGUGCAAUGGCAUAAGCCAGCUUGACUGCGAGCGUGACGGCGCGAGCAGGUGCGAAAGCAGGUCAUAGUGAUCCGGUGGUUCUGAAUGGAAGGGCCAUCGCUCAACGGAUAAAAGGUACUCCGGGGAUAACAGGCUGAUACCGCCCAAGAGUUCAUAUCGACGGCGGUGUUUGGCACCUCGAUGUCGGCUCAUCACAUCCUGGGGCUGAAGUAGGUCCCAAGGGUAUGGCUGUUCGCCAUUUAAAGUGGUACGCGAGCUGGGUUUAGAACGUCGUGAGACAGUUCGGUCCCUAUCUGCCGUGGGCGCUGGAGAACUGAGGGGGGCUGCUCCUAGUACGAGAGGACCGGAGUGGACGCAUCACUGGUGUUCGGGUUGUCAUGCCAAUGGCACUGCCCGGUAGCUAAAUGCGGAAGAGAUAAGUGCUGAAAGCAUCUAAGCACGAAACUUGCCCCGAGAUGAGUUCUCCCUGACUCCUUGAGGGUCCUGAAGGAACGUUGAAGACGACGACGUUGAUAGGCCGGGUGUGUAAGCGCAGCGAUGCGUUGAGCUAACCGGUACUAAUGAACCGUGAGGCU